This is a transfer RNA of 77 nucleotides. It matches the Rfam family "tRNA". Rfam says of the family: Transfer RNA (tRNA) molecules are approximately 80 nucleotides in length. Their secondary structure includes four short double-helical elements and three loops (D, anti-codon, and T loops).
GCGCCCUUAGCUCAGCUGGACAGAGCACCGGACUUCUAAUCCGACGGUCGCAGGUUCGAAUCCUGCAGGGCGCGCGA